This is a long non-coding RNA of Rosa rugosa (rugosa rose), 847 nucleotides long. RefSeq lists it as uncharacterized. The transcript has 3 exons. Lineage: Eukaryota; Viridiplantae; Streptophyta; Magnoliopsida; Rosales; Rosaceae. The record is from RefSeq and is a predicted model, not a curated record.
GGUGAUUAGCGUUUAUAUUGAUUUGUUGAAGUCUGAUGCCGAAAAGCGAAAUGCUCAAGUGGGAUUUCUCACUGUAGACGCAGCGUACUAUGCAAUAAAUCAUGAGCAGAAGAAGGAAAAAGGUGAGGACACUAGACCGCUCGAGUGUGGUGUCGAAACAUUGUUGAUCGAACCACUGUGGUCGAUCUUCCGUUUCCCAAAGGUCCUAGUUCCCAUUCACCACAGUACAAGCAUGCACUACACUUUGUUGGUAAUCGACAAUGAAAAAAUGUGCUUUACUCAUAUGAAUUCAUUGUGGCCAGCAAUCGAUGAAUUCACCAAUGAGGAGAAGUACCACCCUGAAUGAGGCAAGAGUGGUAAAGCACAUCAAGAAGUUCAUACAUACUGUGAACUUGACAAAGUUUAGAACCCCAGGUGACAGCCAAGAUCCAGAGGUCACUAGGGAAAAAUGCAAAGGCGAAGAUGACAAAGAAAACCUAAUUAAGGAUGAAGAAGAAAUGACCAAGAAGGAAAAAGAAACCAGGAACUGGAUCUUGCAGAACAACAUUGUGGAGACAAACUAUGAACUCUAUGAAGACUUUGAGUGCCCGCAGCAGAACACAUCAUCAUCGUAAGUACCCCAAACCACAUUGUUUGUACCUCAAAACAAACUAUCUGUUUAUUGCCCCCCAAUAAAGUUAACAUGAAUUAUUUUACUUCUUUAUAGUGCUGAUUGCGGACCCUUUAUGCUCCAUUUCAUGGAGAGCAUAGUAAAUGGUGAAGAACCAAGCAAGGAAGGUAGGGACAACAUGAGGAAAAGAAUGCUAGAGAGAAUCAUGCACCUUGAAUUAGGGAGAAAGUGAAGAAC